This 339-nucleotide long non-coding RNA is filed under the name Vigna radiata. RNAcentral describes it as "long non-coding RNA (VRAD_LNC007042)". The record is from RNAcentral. Lineage: Eukaryota; Viridiplantae; Streptophyta; Magnoliopsida; Fabales; Fabaceae.
GAUAAUUUGGAAAGUGAAAUUUUUAUGGAGGUUCAGGAAGAAAAACAGGAGGAGGGGCAGGAAGAGGCAGUUCAAAUUGAUUAUUUUCUUGGGUCAUAAGUGUACGGCCCAAGUUGUUACAUGCCCUAAAAUUUGGAGGGCGUUGAUCCUGCACUUCCCCAAUUUCAUCUUUCACCUUUCCAAUUUUUUUUUAACUUUUCAUUAAUUACAAAACUAACUUUUUUUUUUAUUUUUUAUUUUUACUUUUUUAACCCUCUUAAUCAACUAACCCUAAUUUUUACUUUACUUUCUACUUCAGCUCUCAUUUUUACAGACUUUCGAAACUUUCGAAAACAGCCC